Molecule: long non-coding RNA, 986 nt
Filed under: Numida meleagris (helmeted guineafowl)
Lineage: Eukaryota; Metazoa; Chordata; Aves; Galliformes; Numididae
Description: lncRNA (ENSNMEG00000015231.1)
Source: RNAcentral
CUAGCAUCUGACAACAUCACAGAAUCACAGAAUCAUAGAAUCCUAGAAUCCUGGAAUCGUUUCAGUUGGAAGGGAUAGCCUUAAAGGCCAUCAGGUCCAACUCCCCUGCAAUGAACAGGGACAUCUGCAGCUAGAUCAAGGUGCUCAGUCCACAGCCUCAUUGCUGUUGUGAAACUCUCUGCAAUGGCAGGAGAAGCUGGAGGGAAGAAGAGGUGAAGAGAAAUGAAUACAUUCAGAAUUUUCCAAUAUCUGGCAAAAAUAUCAAAAGAAAAAUCACUGGAAAAUGCUGCUGGAGGAUCAGCCAUGGGUACAAACACAGCGUGAAUAACAAGAGCCAGGGCGCUUCCUCCCAGGAGAUGUUUCCUCUCCCAGUGAGGUCCCAGUGACCUCCUGCAUGCUUUGCUGUGAGUUUCUCCCCACAGAUCCUUCCUGGAGCACAGCACCCAGAGGCAGGGGCAGAGCAGAGGGGAUGGAGGAGCGGGGAGGGGAGGGGAAAUGAAGGAAAAAGUAUUUUCUUCCGAGCUCCCCUGAGAAAAUUAGUGUGAAGCAGGAAGGAGCUGAUUGCUGUCAAGGCCUGCCAGAGCCCAGAUAGCCGGCUGCAGUCCCCAGGCACAAAUGUGAUAAUAGCCAACCUGCUAAAAUCAUUAACAGUAACGAUUGCCUCUGAAAAGACCCCAACACCUAGGAGGAAGAAGCAGUGACAGGAGAGGAAGAAAAAAAGAAGAAGAAGAUAAAGGAAGGGAGCAAUUGUAAUUUCCUCUUCGCAUUUCUGUACUGUUUUCCAUAACCCUCUGAUCCUGACAAAUACGGCCUCACCCAGUUGAGAUCCAGUCCAUCUUUGCCCAGCCUUCACUGCUGUGAGCAUUUAUUUUCCCUUUACUUGCUGGUGGGAGAGCAAAAGGAAUGGGGUUGAAGGAUCAGAGGGAAAUGUUUCUUUAAAGCAGCUGUUGCCUUUAGGUGUCUCUUUGGGGAUACUAUCUGAUUAA